GACGAACGCUGGCGGCGUGCCUAAUACAUGCAAGUUGAGCGCUGAAGGUUGGUUCUUGUACCAACUGGAUGAGCAGCGAACGGGUGAGUAACGCGUGGGGAAUCUGCCUUUGAGCGGGGGACAACAUUUGGAAACGAAUGCUAAUACCGCAUAAAAACUUUAAACACAAGUUUUAAGUUUGAAAGAUGCAAUUGCAUCACUCAAAGAUGAUCCCGCGUUGUAUUAGCUAGUUGGUGAGGUAAAGGCUCAUCAAGGCGAUGAUACAUAGCCGACCUGAGGGGGUGAUCGGCCAGAUUGGGAGUGAGACACGGCCCAGACGCCUGCGGGGGGCAGCAGUAGGGAAUCUUCGGCAAUGGGCGAAAGUCUGACCGAGCAACGCCGCGUGAGUGAAGAAGGUUUUCGGGUCGUAAAACUCUGUUGGUAGAGAAGAACGUUGGUGAGAGUGGAAAGCUCAUCAAGUGACGGUAACUACCCAGAAAGGAGCGGCUAACUACGUG
RNAcentral lists this ribosomal RNA (497 nucleotides) under uncultured bacterium. RNAcentral describes it as "partial 16S ribosomal RNA". It matches the Rfam family "Bacterial small subunit ribosomal RNA", at positions 28 to 507 of the family's 1533-position model. The record is from RNAcentral.